This 242-nucleotide ribosomal RNA is filed under the name uncultured bacterium. RNAcentral describes it as "partial 16S ribosomal RNA". It matches the Rfam family "Bacterial small subunit ribosomal RNA", at positions 15 to 235 of the family's 1533-position model. The record is from RNAcentral.
GAUCCUGGUUCAGGACGAACGCUGGCGGCGCGCCUAACACAUGCAAGUCGAACGGAGUUAUGUUGACAGAAGCCUUCGGGUGGAAGAUGAGAUAACUUAGUGGCGGGACGGGUGAGUAACACGUGAGCAACCUGCCUAUCAGAGGGGGAUAACGUUCUGAAAAGAACGCUAAUACCGCAUAACGUGCGAGGGAGACAUCUCUCUUGUACCAAAGGAGCAAUCCGCUGAUAGAUGGGCUCGCG